This 260-nucleotide ribosomal RNA is filed under the name uncultured bacterium. RNAcentral's name for it is "partial 16S ribosomal RNA". The record is from RNAcentral.
CUGCUGCCUUCCGUAGGAGUUUGGGCCGUGUCUCAGUCCCAAUGUGGCCGUUCACCCUCUCAGGCCGGCUACUGAUCGUCGCCUUGGUGGGCCGUUACCCCACCAACCAGCUAAUCAGACGCGGGUCCAUCUCAUACCACCGGAGUUUUUACCACUGUACCAUGCAGUACUGUGGUCUUAUGCGGUAUUAGCAGUCAUUUCUAACUGUUAUCCCCCUGUAUGAGGCAGGUUACCCACGNGUUACUCACCCGUCCGCCGCU